RNAcentral lists this ribosomal RNA (494 nucleotides) under uncultured bacterium. RNAcentral describes it as "bacterial SSU rRNA". It matches the Rfam family "Bacterial small subunit ribosomal RNA", at positions 355 to 866 of the family's 1533-position model. The record is from RNAcentral.
UGGGGAAUCUUGCACAAUGGAGGCAACUCUGAUGCAGCGACGCCGCGUGAGCGAUGAAGCCCUUCGGGGUGUAAAGCUCUUUCGGCAGGGACGAUAAUGACGGUACCUGAAGAAGAAGCUGCGGCUAACUACGUGCCAGCAGCCGCGGUAAUACGUAGGCAGCGAGCGUUGUUCGGAAUUACUGGGCGUAAAGAGUGUGUAGGCGGGUGCUCUAAGUUCGGUGUGAAAUCUCCUGGCUCAACUGGGAGGGUGCGCCGGAAACUGGAGUGCUUGAGCGUGGGAGAGGAAAGCGGAAUUCCUGGUGUAGCGGUGAAAUGCGUAGAUAUCAGGAGGAACACCUGUGGUGUAGACGGCUUUCUGGACCAUAGCUGACGCUGAGACACGAAAGCGUGGGUAGCAAACAGGAUUAGAUACCCUGGUAGUCCACGCCCUAAACGAUGCAUACUUGGUGUCGGCCAUUCAGUUGGUCGGUGCCGGAGCUAACGCGUUAAGUA